UCAGAACAGAUAACUGCAUAAUAUAAUCGAAGUACUAUUCGUCAAGAAAUGGAAAUAUUUUUCAACAUCAUUUGUGUAUCGUUAAUGUUUCAAUAUGGCAAGUUUUUUUAACUGAUAAAUCAUAAAUAUACUGAUUUUACUAAAAUUUCAAGUUAACAGUAUUCUGUUUUAUUUAAACCGUUUUUUUUUUUUUUUCAAAAGUUAUAAUUUUCGAAGGGUUAUAUAUUUUGCAGUGGUGUCUUGCCAUGGCUUUGCUUGGACUUGUUUGUUUGCUUUUUGGCCUUGAAUGUUUGUCCCUUAUAUUUUAUUAACUGUGCAUUUGCAUUCAGAUAUCUCAGAUCAAAUUUAUUCGUUCAAAGUGUAUUAAUUUACGUUUUUUGAUUGAGUUAAUCCUAUUGAUAUUUCAUCGUGUGUUUUUCUAUGUUGUGAUGGUAUGCUAUUGUUUCAGAAAAAGGGAGAAGGUUUGGUACCAUUAAAACGUUUAAUCCCGCUGCAAAUGUUUGCACCUGCCCUAAGUCAGGAAUCUGAUGUACAGUAGUUGUCGUUUGUUUAUGUAAUUUAUACGUGCUUCUCGUUUCUCGUUUUUUUAUAUAGAUUAGACCGUUGGUUUUCCCGUUUCAAUGGUUUUACACUAAAAAUGUUGGGUCCCUUUAUAGCUAAUUGUUCGGUGUGAGCCAAGGCUCCGUGUUGAAGGCCGUACAUUGACCUAUAAUGGUUUACUUUUUUAAAUUGUUAUUUGGAUGGAGAGUUGUCUCAUUGGCACUCACACCACAUCUUCCUAUAUCUAUUAAAAAGAAAAAAAAAUUCUACAUAUUAAUUUGUACGCCAUACUUCCUUAUAUAAAAUUGAUAAAAUUCUAGUAACAUUACCAGAAACUUUCAACAAUUUUGCUUGCAGCGUUUGGAAUCUGUGCUUUUCCGUGUUGGCAGCAGAACCGAGGAUUUGCAAGAAUAAAUGAGGACGGCAGUGACUUUUUUGUCGGCGCAGUCAGUAAAACUAACAGAACUACACUAGAAGUGUCGGUCAACGGUUCAUCUGUAUUUACACAGGAAU
This 1053-nucleotide long non-coding RNA is filed under the name Mytilus galloprovincialis (Mediterranean mussel). Lineage: Eukaryota; Metazoa; Mollusca; Bivalvia; Mytilida; Mytilidae. The record is from RNAcentral.